UCGAAUUGGGAGUCUUAUAUUUAUAUGUUGGCAGCUGCCUUUCUAUCCUUGCUAUGUUGCCUCCUCAUUGCAAAGAGAACUGAAAUGUGAUAUUUAUAUUUCUUAAAUGUUUCAGUUACACAGCAGUAGUAGCUUGUGAUUGAUAACAAAAUGUUCAAUAAUCCUAACAGACAAUGUUGAACCAAUGUCUUUGUAUUACCAUCCUUUUCUAAACUAUAAACUGUAGCAAAAUUAAUUUAUGUGGAUUUUGAAUUUGUAAGAGGUUGGACCUUGAAAACAUGCCUGUUUGCCUAAACUCCUUGCCCUGGCCAAAUGCUAACCGCACGCACAGUUGUUAUGUCUGCUAUAAAUUUGGGUCUGACUCCAAACAGUAAUUAGAUGGCCCAUAAACCCCAAGCCCUCAGCCCUUUAAUUAUGUUUUACAUUGAUAUGUCCUAGUGUACUUUCAAGCAAACUUGCCCAUGCAGUGGAGAGUUAAGAGUUAGUUGAAUCGCUACACACCUCACAAGGGGUCUGAACAAUGAGGUUUGAGUCUGACAAAAAACUUCAGCCGCGUUGAUUAAAAAUGCUAUGUCCACUGGCAGUGGUGUUCACUUGUCCACUCGAGCUAAAUCAAGUAUAGAAGAGGGCCGCUUUUCUAAAUUGAACAUCAGUUAAAGGUGGCAGUUCAGUUUUGAUGGGGAUUCCCAUCAAAGUGGCUAUGGCAAAUGCUUAGGGGCUGUCUACAUGGUCUUUGUAGUCCAGCCUGAAUCCCAGCACCUACCUGGUAAAUUCUAGAAUAAAAACACAUUCCAACCACUCAUUAAUCCAGAGCCAGAAUGCACAUGGGUAAAAAGUGGCUUGCGGGCAUUGAUUCUCUGAUUGUUUGGAUAUACGUCCUAUGGCAGAAUACAAUCCUCUUUUUAACUUACCCACACACAACUUCAGUUAUUUCAGUCUCGGACUGAAGAACGUAGUGAACGAUACAAUACACGGCCCUCAUUCAGGGGGGUUGCGGUUGGUGGGCGUCCCUUUGGUUGAUGCCUGGCAAUGUGGUUGGAUUGAUUUCCUGCCUGUUGGGCCCUGUCCGGGGCCUCCCCCGGGUCGGGCCACAGUGUCACCGGACCCCCCCGUCUCAGUUCCAAGGUGUCACGCUGCUAUAUUAUUGUGCUGGGGGAUAUGAGGAAUGCACUUCUAACUUUUCUCAGUUUCCUCCAGUUUUAUAUUUUAGGAGGACAUGAGGUCCUGGUCCACACUUGCGGAUUACCUGGUUUGGGGGGCCCGUUGCUGUCUUUGUCCUUGUCCACCUGGUCAUACUUUUGACCUAGUCUAAAAUCAAAUAGCCUCUGGAUUUAGGCCAGAGAAAUGUAUUAAUAAUUCCAAUUGGACUCUUAAUAUCUCACCCGGCACACCCAGAAGAGGACUGGUCACCCCUCUGAGCCUGGGUCCUCUCUAGGUUUCUUCCUAAAAUUCGGCCUUCUUAGGGAGUUUUUCCUAGCCACUGAAAUUCAGCACUACUGUUGUUUGCUCCUUGGGGUUUAAGGCCGGGUGUCUCUGUAAAGCACUUUGUGACAACUGCUGUUGUGAAAAGGGCUUUAUAAAUACAUUUGAUUGAUUGAUUGAACAAUAAAACACUGGAAGAAUUCUGUUUGAGUCAUCAGGCAACUUCAAGCUCUUAUUUGCAAAAAGGCAAAUCAAAACAAUGAUCAGUAAAUGCAGUAUCUGUGUUUCAGUUGCUCAAGUGAAAUGUUUUUGUACACUUUUUUUUAAAGAUACACUGCUUGCUUAAUAAACUUUAUUUACAAGAACA
Molecule: long non-coding RNA, 1789 nt
Organism: Esox lucius (northern pike)
Lineage: Eukaryota; Metazoa; Chordata; Actinopteri; Esociformes; Esocidae
Source: Ensembl